AUGACUUGCACGCAGCACACCCAAAAAAGGGGGCGCCUGACUCAUGCGGCGGCAGAGGCUACGAUGCCUGACUGGACGUCACUUCCAUAUGACAACGUCUGCAACAUCGGCGAAUGCUUGCUGUCCAACAACGACAUCGACAACUACAUGGCCUUACGCGCUGUCUGCCAUGACUGGCGCUCCGCCACAAAGGACUACCCCGAGAAGGGGGACUACACCGACCCUCACUACUUCAAGCCUAGUAAAUGGGCAUUGCUCGAUCUAUGCGAUGACCUUAUCACACUGGUGAACAUCGACACUGGUCGAUUCCUCCAUAAGAGCAUGCCGCUACUCCGCGGUUUUUUCUUCGUCGGCGCCACAUGCGGCGGCCUCAUCCUACUUGGGGAAUCAACGAAGCCCCACCAGGCCUGUGUUCUCAACCCGUUCACGGGCUCAAUCGUGCAUUUGAAGGCGAGCAUACCUGAUGUAGGGGUAAGGGCGGUUGCCAUGACAACAAAACCAUUGAUGGUCUUCGUCUCCACCAAGAAUUGCGACAUCUUGUGGGCAGAUCAAAACAACAAGUACUUCGAGCAAUUUUGGACCAAUUAUCCUUACAAACCUACAUGCAUGGUGUCCUUCGCAGAAAAUGUGUAUGUCACUGAUCUGUGCGGAUCAAUCCACUCGCUCACAGUUGCUGAUGUCGUUGUUGGGGAACAAAGGCACAAGUGCUCAGCACUGACAAUCUCGAUGGAAACCAUCUUCCCUAGUAUUGGAGACACAAGCCACCAAGGACUAACAGAGGGCGGCAGAUAUUAUCUUAUGAAGUCUGGGGAAGAUCUGCUUCUUGUGGCCAAACCGUUAUACUUUACUCUCGAUCAACCAGUUGUUCGUAGAGUGGAUAUCGAGAAGAAGGUGCUUGAGCCAGUCAGUACCAUCGGCAAGCGUGCUCUAUUCGUCAGCCAUGCAAAGGGCCUCUCCGUCAACGCUGACAAGUUUCAGGGCAUCCUUGGUGGAUGCAUUCACUUUAUAGAGCCAAUGCUAACUCGAGGGAACUUUGAGCCUUCAAAAGUGACGAUUUUUCAUGUUGCUGAUAGGCGCAUCAUGGUUGAAUGGGAUGCCCUAGAAGGUUGCUUCCGUCCAUUCACCCUCGCCCAAGUGUUCACAGAUUACUGCAGGCCCAUUCAUUAUUCUGAACUAUACCAUAUGAUGGCCAACGAGUGGGGUUACUCAGAUGAUGGAUUUGAAUCCGACGAAGACUCGUCCUCUCAACUUGAUGAUGAAUCAUCCUCCUCUGAACUUGGUGAUGAAUCAUCCUCCAACGAACCUAACGACUAA
RNAcentral lists this ribosomal RNA (1314 nucleotides) under Triticum aestivum (bread wheat). RNAcentral's name for it is "partial small subunit ribosomal RNA". The record is from RNAcentral. Lineage: Eukaryota; Viridiplantae; Streptophyta; Magnoliopsida; Poales; Poaceae.